AUUGAACGCUGGCGGCAUGGCUAAAACAUGCAAGUCGAGCGAGAAAGUGGAGCAAUCCACGAGUAAAGCGGCGAAAGGGUGAGUAAUACGUUCCUACGUGCCUCGAGGUCGGGGAUAGCCAGGGGAAACUUUGGGUAAUACCCGAUGUGGUCGAGAGAUCAAAGGCUUGCCGCCUUGAGAGCGGGGAAUGUCCUAUCAGCUAGUUGGUGAGGUAACGGCUCACCAAGGCUAGACGGGUAGCAGGUGUGAGAGCACGGCCUGCCACAUCGAAACUGAGACACUGUUCGGACUCCUACGGGAGGCUGCAGUAACGAAUCUUCCGCAAUGCGCGAAAGCGUGACGGAGCAAUGCCGCGUGAGUGAUGAAGGCCUU
Molecule: ribosomal RNA, 372 nt
Filed under: uncultured bacterium
Lineage: Bacteria
Description: bacterial SSU rRNA
Rfam family: Bacterial small subunit ribosomal RNA
Source: RNAcentral